AUUGAACGCUGGCGGCAGGCCUAACACAUGCAAGUCGAGCGGAUGAAGGGAGCUUGCUCCUGGAUUCAGCGGCGGACGGGUGUGUAAUGCCUAGGAAUCUGCCUGGUAGUGGGGGAUAACGUCCGCAAACGGGCGCUAAUACCGCAUACGUCCUGCGGGUGAAAGUGGGGGAUCUUCGGACCUCACGCUAUCUGAUGAGCCUAGGUCGGAUUAGCUAGUUGGUGGGGUAAAGGCCUACCAAGGCGACGAUCCGUGACUGGUCUGAGAGGAUGAUCAGUCACACUGGAACUGAGACACGGUCCAGACUCCUACGGGAGGCAGCAGUGGGGAAUAGUGGACAAUAGGCGAAAGCCUGAUCCAGCCAUGCCGCGUGUGUGAAGAAGGUCUUCGGAUUGUAAAGCACUUUAAGUGGGGAGGAAGGGCAGUAAGUUAAUACCUUGCUGUUUUGACGGUACCAACAGAAUAAGCACCGGCUAACUUCGUG
RNAcentral lists this ribosomal RNA (484 nucleotides) under uncultured bacterium. RNAcentral's name for it is "partial 16S ribosomal RNA". It matches the Rfam family "Bacterial small subunit ribosomal RNA", at positions 30 to 507 of the family's 1533-position model. The record is from RNAcentral.